GUGAGGAAUAUUGCGCAAUGGAGGCAACUCUGACGCAGCCAUGCCGCGUGCAGGAAGAAGGCGCUACGCGUUGUAAACUGCUUUUAACCGGGAAGAAACCCCAGGACUUGUCCUGGGUUGACGGUACCGGAGGAAUAAGCACCGGCUAACUUCGUGCCAGCAGCCGCGGUAAUACGAAGGGUGCAAGCGUUAUCCGGAUUCAUUGGGUUUAAAGGGUGCGUAGGCGGAUCGUUAAGUCAGUGGUGAAAUCCUGCAGCUUAACUGUAGACUUGCCAUUGAUACUGGCGCUCUUGAGUGCGCUUGAAGUGGGCGGAAUGUGCCGUGUAGCGGUGAAAUGCUUAGAUAUGGCACAGAACACCAAUUGCGAAGGCAGCUCACUAAGGCGAUACUGACGCUGAGGCACGAAAGCGUGGGGAUCGAACAGGAUUAGAAACCCUAGUAGUCC
RNAcentral lists this ribosomal RNA (445 nucleotides) under uncultured bacterium. RNAcentral's name for it is "bacterial SSU rRNA". It matches the Rfam family "Bacterial small subunit ribosomal RNA", at positions 354 to 796 of the family's 1533-position model. The record is from RNAcentral.